RNAcentral lists this long non-coding RNA (329 nucleotides) under Manihot esculenta (cassava). Its description in RNAcentral is "long non-coding RNA (MESC_LNC010395)". The record is from RNAcentral. Lineage: Eukaryota; Viridiplantae; Streptophyta; Magnoliopsida; Malpighiales; Euphorbiaceae.
CCAUUCCAGUAAGAGGCCCGGAGAUGAAAAAGAGUGAUAUCUAGAUAUUCCAUGGGAGCUUAGAACUAUCCAUGGAAAAAGAAAAGCGUACCUUGAAGAUAAAGACAGGGAGAUGACGAUGGCAGUGCGCAUGAAGAGCAGAGAAAAGCAAGAACUUGGAGAAGACAGAGAGAAUUCAAAAUUCAAAAUGACAAUAAGGUGAAAGGGUGUUUUGAGGCAAACUGUACUUAAAUGACGCGGUCAUAAUGAUUCUUGGUAUUUACCCCCUCGUCAGUCGGGCAAUAACUGACGAGAAGGUAAAGGAGCAAUUGAUGACCGCUGGAUUUCUC